UCAAGAGUCACAUGCUCUACUGACUGAGCCAAACAGGCACCCCAAAAGUAGGGACUCAAAAAGUGAUUUAUGACUACGUCAGGAAGCGCCAAGUAUACUUUUGACUGCUUAUCUGGGCUAUAUUCUUCAAGUGAGCACAUAACCACCAAAUGCGUCUUUAAAAUUAAUUAAUCUUUAAAGUCUCCCAAGAGAAGAAAAGAAACAGAAAAAACAUGAGAGAGAGACACAGCGAAAGAGG
Molecule: long non-coding RNA, 238 nt
Organism: Mustela erminea (ermine)
Lineage: Eukaryota; Metazoa; Chordata; Mammalia; Carnivora; Mustelidae
Exons: 3
Source: RefSeq, a predicted model, not a curated record